This 253-nucleotide ribosomal RNA is filed under the name uncultured bacterium. Its description in RNAcentral is "partial 16S ribosomal RNA". It matches the Rfam family "Bacterial small subunit ribosomal RNA", at positions 524 to 776 of the family's 1533-position model. The record is from RNAcentral.
UACGUAGGGUGCGAGCGUUGUCCGGAAUUAUUGGGCGUAAAGAGCUUGUAGGCGGUUUGUCGCGUCUGCCGUGAAAAUCCGAGGCUCAACCUCGGACUUGCGGUGGGUACGGGCAGACUAGAGUGUGGUAGGGGAGACUGGAAUUCCAGGUGUAGCGGUGAAAUGCGUAGAUAUCUGGAGGAACACCGGUGGCGAAGGCGGCAUCCUGGACCGGUAUUGACGCUGAGGCGCGAAAGCCAGGGGAGCAAACGGG